CCUACGGGAGGCAGCAGUGAGGAAUAUUGGUCAAUGGGCGCGAGCCUGAACCAGCCAAGUAGCGUGAAGGAUGACUGUCCUACGGGUUGUAAACUUCUUUUAUAAAGGAAUAAAGUGAGGCACGUGUGCCUUUUUGUAUGUACUUUAUGAAUAAGGAUCGGCUAACUCCGUGCCAGCAGCCGCGGUAAUACGGAGGAUCCGAGCGUUAUCCGGUUUUAUUGGGUUUAAAGGGGGCGUAGAUGGGUUGUUAAGUCAGUUGUGAAAGUUUGCGGCUCAACCGUAAGAUCGCAAUUGAUACUGGCAAUCUAGAGUAGAGUUGAGGUAGGCGGAAUUCGUGGUGUAGCGGUGAAAUGCUUAGAUAUCACGAAGAACUCCGAUUGCGAAGGCAGCUUACUAAGCUGCUACUGACAUUGAGGCACGAAAGCGUGGGUAUCAAACAGGAUUAGAUACCCCUGUAGUC
This 460-nucleotide ribosomal RNA is filed under the name uncultured bacterium. Its description in RNAcentral is "partial 16S ribosomal RNA". It matches the Rfam family "Bacterial small subunit ribosomal RNA", at positions 338 to 795 of the family's 1533-position model. The record is from RNAcentral.